GUAUGCUCGUCGGUGCCCAAAAUCUGUCUGUGGAACAGGAGGUCGGUGGUUCGAGCCCACCCAACUGUACCA
RNAcentral lists this transfer RNA (72 nucleotides) under Rhodopseudomonas palustris BisA53. Its description in RNAcentral is "tRNA-Und (NNN) (tRNA-Und-NNN-2-1)". The record is from RNAcentral. Lineage: Bacteria; Pseudomonadati; Pseudomonadota; Alphaproteobacteria; Hyphomicrobiales; Nitrobacteraceae.